CCUACGGGGGGCAGCAGUGGGGAAUAUUGGACAAUGGGGGAAACCCUGAUCCAGCGACGCCGCGUGAGUGAAGAAGUAUUUCGGUACGUAAAGCUCUAUCAGCAGGAAAGAAAAUGACGGUACCUGACUAAGAAGCCCCGGCUAACUCCGUGCCAGCAGCCGCGGUAAUACGGAGGAUGCGAGCGUUAUCCGGAUUUAUUGGGUUUAAAGGGUGCGCAGGCGGAGGUGCAAGUCAGCGGUCAAAUUGCGGGGCUCAACCCCGUACUGCCGUUGAAACUGCAUCCCUUGAGUGCGCGAGAAGUAUGCGGAAUGCGUGGUGUAGCGGUGAAAUGCAUAGAUAUCACGCAGAACUCCGAUUGCGAAGGCAGCAUACCGGCGCGCAACUGACGCUCAUGCACGAAAGCGUGGGUAUCGAACAGGAUUAGAUACCCGAGUAGUC
Molecule: ribosomal RNA, 439 nt
Filed under: uncultured bacterium
Lineage: Bacteria
Description: partial 16S ribosomal RNA
Rfam family: Bacterial small subunit ribosomal RNA
Source: RNAcentral